This is a non-coding RNA of Xyrichtys novacula (pearly razorfish), 3583 nucleotides long. The record is from the annotation of a GenBank genome assembly. NCBI's taxonomy places the organism in Eukaryota, Metazoa, Chordata, Actinopteri, Labriformes, Labridae.
GGCUCCUCCAUGGACAGGCAUGCUGCAGAAACAUUUUGAACCGUCACUGUAUUGUAUACCUGACAACGUAGAUGAGGAAGACAGUGCAACACCUUCGCCUUCAUGGCUGAUCAAAACUGAACAUUCAAAUUUGAACAAAGAGGGACCACAUCCCACCUUGAGGAGAACAGACCUGCAGGUAAGAACAGAUGCAGCUCUAUUCAUUAUCUAUGGAGGAAUGUCAGGAUUCAGAUCUGUGAUUGCCAUUCACUGCCACACGCUCCAACACACUCCACAAACCAAUUAAACCAAAUUGACAGGAUUGUUCAAACCGGUCUGAUUUGUCAGUUCCCCCUCCACACACACACCCAAGUAGACACUCAAAUAUACACACCCUUUGCAUGGGAUUACUUUACAUCAGACAGUGUGUCUGUGUUUGCUUUUUUAAGUGUCUUAACCUCAGCUGGAGAAACUGUGUUUGUCAAAUACUUGCUAUAUUUUGUUCUGUCUUGAACACAAAGGAGAACAGGAGGAAUAUAGUUCUAAAUUUUAAAGUAAAAUUUUUACUCACAGUUUUUUACUCUAAUUUCAGCAGCAUUAAAGUUGGGGUAGGCAGGAUUCCAUUUAAAAGCAUCUUUUUUGUGGUAUAUAUACAAAAAAGCUUUUAAUAUCAGUCAAUAGCUAUUAGUUAUUGAUGACAUUUGGCCAUAUAAUGAUAUCGCUGUGUUCUCCUAUGCCUGCGUAGUCAACAUAUUAAAUUUUUUGAGCAGCCUGCUCUUUCUGACUGUAAACAAAGCCAUUCUCAGCCUCCCCCAACGUGAUGGGUUGCAGGGCUCUCAAGUCUUACGCAUUCAGCGUGUGACACACGCAUUCCCACCCGUUCACACGCCACACAUUGUAUUUCUCACGCAUUUAAAUGAACAUCAUGUUGUUCACCAAGUUGCACCUCUUUAACUAUGGAACAGGUAGAAAUCAGAGUUCCUCCGAGAGUUCAGAAGCUGCGUGCCACGUGCAAGCCAAUCAAAUUAAGGAUAUCUACUGAACAGCCAAUCAAAAAGCAGCAUUGUUGUAUCCGGGUAGAUUUUGAUAUCUUGCGGUUUGACUACAGAAGAAGACAGACACUCGCCGAAAUAGAGCAGGUUUUUAUAAGGACGAGAAAGACCCGAUGAUUACAGUAAGUCAGUAAUCUACACAUGCAGAGACCUCAACACCUCAUGGCAUAUAAACUCAUGUGAUAAACUAAAGCCCUAUGCUAUUGCUAUUAACAGCUGUAUUGAAGAAUUUAGCCUCUGUACAGCCAUUUUCCCCUCCACAAAAGCAGCAUUUCUCAUAUAUUCUUUUUAAAGUUCUGAUACUCAUGACAGUGUAAUGCUGAUGUACCAAAGGAUUAAGUAUCUCUAUGUUUGAGAAACCUCUACUAAAGUACAAUUCAUCUAAAUGCUCCACAGUGCUGAUUUUAACAACUCACCUCCACAACAGGUAACUUUACGACUUUAGUCUUAUUCUCUUAAAUAAUAACUUUAUUCUCUAAGAUUUAAAAACCUUUUUUUUUCUUAAUGUGGCCCUCAUACUCCGUUGUAUUUAAGAGAUUAUUAUACUAAGCUUAGUUCAAAACUUGAGAGCCCUGGGGUUGUGAGGCGGACACUGCUCUCUCGUGCUGUGAGACACGCUCCACAUCCUCCAAUAACGUGCAUGAGUGUGCUACAACAUCAGACAGUAGAUAGCAACCAGAAAGUACGGAAAAAUGUCUGAAUCCUCCUUUGGCCACAACUGCCAACACAAGCAAGAAAACAGUAAAUACCGGAGACUCUGGUGAAAUUAAGGGCAUUUAAAAAGGAGGUAGACCAGACAAGAGCUAAAAACUGCUUUAGCAAAGUAAGCCAAGUGUCUGUAACAGAAGUGUUUCUGUCAAAUGGGACCUGCUGCGCAUUGUAGCGCAGCUAAACUGUUGACCUCGGGUCCUGGACUAUGUCACUUUAUCCUAGUUGUAGAAGUCCUGCAAACAUUGUGUUUGCUGGUAGUCUGUUGGCAUCUACAGUAGCACCAAUGCUUUUUACUUUCACAUUGACUGGGCCCCAUUUGUAAUCAUCUGAAGUAUUUAUCUGAAUUAUAUCUGAAUUUAGCUGGAACGAUACGGGCAAGCACAAGCUUCUGUUUGUGGGCGGGGCUUGCUGCAGCUGAGAGGGAGGGGAGAGGAGGAGCUAAGGGAUAAACUGGUUGGGAAGGGUAGAGUUUAAAUUCAAGAUUUCUCCCAAAUACUGGCACUUCCUCAGAUCCUGCCUACCCCACCUUUAAUUCUGUUUACAUGAACUUCGCAUAUUCCAGUUUUAUAUCCGUACAUGUAAACAUCAUUUCCUCACUUCAGAAACCAGGAUAAAUCUAGAUCCUGUUGUAGAGAAAACUGAUUGAGCUACUUUGUUGUUUCCUGGUUGAAGUGUUACAUAACAAAACAGACAGCAAAAUGAUUUAGCAAGUGGUUAAUGGGACAUCAUUUUAACAGCACUGUGCUGUUUGUCUGGAAAGUUUUGUGUUUUUUAAUUUAUUUCUUCAUCUAUCAAAGUUUAUUUACUACCUGGCUUUCUAGUUGCACGUUCAUGCUGUUCAACCACCAGCUUACGUCACAACAUACAAACACUGGAACAUGCACUGAAUGCUUGGAUCAAUUUUAGCUAGAUAGAGCCAAAUACAUGACAAAGAAAAUUGAUCCCAAACCAUAUCAUCCAGGUAUGUUAGUCUGACCAUGAGAAGUUUGAUUUCAGUGGGAUCUGGUAGAAGUUUGGGUGGCAGCUGCAGACUACCUGCACUGGCCGAGUGAUAUAACAAAAGAAAAACAACAGCAGCAACAAAAGUGUCUUCAAGAGGAACAAACUUGAAUAGAUGACAACUCGAUCUUACCAGACACAGCUGCACAUCUUCACACAUUGCUUCGUCCCUGCACAGUGGCAGAAACGAAGUUCAGAAGUGAGGAGAUUUGAAUGUUUUACUGUUGCUCUCAAUGAAAAUGAGGCAGAUGUGUUGUUUCUGCAUUUUGAAAAACCUGAUAUUACCACCUGACACCUGAAAUAGAAAAGGUGUGGUGAGACGGCGCCUCCUUUUGUUUUAUUUUGGUUGGACUUCCUGUGUUUCUUUGUUUGCCAGGUCUGGCUUGACUCUCUUCCAGAGCUCCCUCCCCUCCCCCGGUCACUGAGGCUGAGUGAGACUCCACACCUGCUCUACAUCUGCAAUCAAGGCACUUUAAGAAGCUAGCAGCCCUCAGUCUCAGCGCCUGAGUAUUGUCUUCACUCGCAAGUGGUACAGAUGUGUCUCCUGGCCUUCCUCAGAUAAUUACUUGUGACUUUUUACUCCCCAUGAUCCCUUGUAUGUCUUCUCACCUCCUUCUCCGCAGUGUCUCCAGCCCACACAAUAGCCAGCCAGCAAACAGGACUUUUUCCUCGUGCUUUGUUUCCUUGAGUUGGACAUUAAACCCUUUUUUUUUUUUUUUUUUUAAAUUUGCCGUCUGCUUCUGGGUCCACAAAAUACACCGCAUGCCACAAAAGGACACUGACAUUGGUGAUAAGAAGAGCAUCUUAAUUCAGGGGCAUCCAAGAAACUGGGUUUUAUUUCU